RNAcentral lists this long non-coding RNA (537 nucleotides) under Pogona vitticeps (central bearded dragon). RNAcentral's name for it is "lncRNA (ENSPVIG00000019848.1)". Lineage: Eukaryota; Metazoa; Chordata; Lepidosauria; Squamata; Agamidae. The record is from RNAcentral.
AUGGUUUGUUUUCUCACUUACAAAUGUCACAAACUUUCCUCGUCCUUCUUUUUUCUUCUUCUCCAGAAAAGCACCGAAGCGGUCAAGAUGAAGGGGCUUGCUCUGGCGAUCAUGCUGUUGAGCGUUUACUGUCUGGAAGGCGCCGUGGUGGAACAGAAGCCCGAAGGCGAAGCACCGCCCCAGGUCCCUGACAUUACGGGGGCUUUGCAAGAGUACGCCCAGGUCCUCUCUCAAUAUUUCACCAGAGAGGUGGUGCCCCAGGAGAGGUUUGAGCAGCUACGAACCCAAGCCCAGGCAUUUGCUCAGCAGACCCUGAAACCUAUAACUGACCAAAUGACCGAGACGUUCAGCCAGUUUCUAGAGUCUGUAAAGGAAUCGGUGAUGAAAGCUGCCACAUAAAAAGUCUCUUCUUUAAUGAGUCCUCCAGCCCAAGCCCUGGAAGAAAAGCUUUGACAAGCAAGCACCUUGUUAUAACACGAAGACGGGUUUCAAAUCUCUAUCAGGCUGCAAUAAAGACAAAGCAAAUUUUAUCCUGCA